This 929-nucleotide long non-coding RNA is filed under the name Chloebia gouldiae (Gouldian finch). RNAcentral describes it as "Erythrura gouldiae (Gouldian finch) lncRNA (ENSEGOG00005002997.1)". The record is from RNAcentral. Lineage: Eukaryota; Metazoa; Chordata; Aves; Passeriformes; Passeridae.
GCUAUUUCUGGCUCCUGAGUACAUCUCAUCCUUCCCACGCCAGCCCCGGUACAAAGGGCACAAACUCUUCUUUCCACUCCUCGUCCUCCACUGCCGGCUCCGUCCCCGCUGCUCAGGGGUCUCCGGACGCUUUUUCCUGGUCCUUCUCAUUUUCUGGGCAAGAGGCUUUCCAUCCAAAGCUUCAUGUGGGAGGCUUCAUGUUGGCAUCCAGAGUACAUGUCCCAAAUAUGUCCAACCUCACUUUCUGAUCCUAGUGCCAAAGAGCUGCAGACAGAUGACAGCAGCUAUCCUCCUUCCAUACUGAGGAAAAGGCCACCUGUGGACCAAGCUGUGGGGGAAAAGCGGAGAGCAGAGAGAAGGGUUCGAUUUCGUGAGCCAGAAGAAGUCAUUGAACAUGUAAUUUCCUGCUGUGACUACGUAGUGGCAGAUGACAGGACAUCAUCUGGAUUGCCUGUGCUCCUGUGGCUCUUGUUUUGUGCAGUGCUGAUCCUUGCUGUGAGUCUCUACUACACCAGCAUGAAGCAAAAUGUCACAGUCCUGGAGGAAUUUCAAUCCCGACUUGUCAUCUUCUUUCUUCAUAUAAGACAUGUUGCUCAGAGGUGCUGGACUUGGUUUCUGAGGCAGUAGCAGUGUCCUCCAGCCUGACACUGCUAAGAAACAUCAGUGCAAAGCUCCCAGCCUACUGCAGCCACAUGCAAGGAACACAUGAGCAUCCACCUCAAAGAGCAAGAAAAUCACCCCUGCUGUGCACCAUCCAGAAAACACUUGUUCUCCUUUUUCCUUCUUUGCUGUUUUCCUUUGUUUCACAUCAAUGAACAUUCAAACUAAUGCCUUGAGGUCCCACCAAACUCAGGCACCAUCACCCUGAACAUCAAACAAGUAUCUAGAUUUUGUUACCCAGAAUUAAUAAACUGCUGAUAUGAGGAACA